UGCAUCAAUAGAUUUCUCACU
Molecule: non-coding RNA, 21 nt
Filed under: Caenorhabditis elegans
Lineage: Eukaryota; Metazoa; Nematoda; Chromadorea; Rhabditida; Rhabditidae
Source: RNAcentral